AGUGAACGCUGGCGGUAGGCCUAACACAUGCAAGUCGAACGGCAGCACAGUAAGAGCUUGCUCUUACGGGUGGCGAGUGGCGGACGGGUGAGGAAUACAUCGGAAUCUACUUUUUCGUGGGGGAUAACGUAGGGAAACUUACGCUAAUACCGCAUACGACCUACGGGUGAAAGCAGGGGAUCUUCGGACCUUGCGCGAUUGAAUGAGCCGAUGUCGGAUUAGCUAGUUGGCGGGGUAAGGGCCCACCAAGGCGACGAUCCGUAGCUGGUCUGAGAGGAUGAUCAGCCACACUGGAACUGAGACACGGUCCAGACUCCUACGGGAGGCAGCAGUGGGGAAUAUUGGACAAUGGGCGCAAGCCUGAUCCAGCCAUACCGCGUGGGUGAAGAAGGCCUUCGGGUUGUAAAGCCCUCUUGUUGGGAAAGAAAAGCAGCAGGUUAAUACCCCGCUGUUCUGACGGUACCCAAAGAAUAAGCACCGGCUAACUUCGUG
RNAcentral lists this ribosomal RNA (492 nucleotides) under uncultured bacterium. RNAcentral's name for it is "partial 16S ribosomal RNA". It matches the Rfam family "Bacterial small subunit ribosomal RNA", at positions 29 to 507 of the family's 1533-position model. The record is from RNAcentral.